RNAcentral lists this long non-coding RNA (1051 nucleotides) under Nicotiana benthamiana. RNAcentral describes it as "long non-coding RNA (NBEN_LNC016186)". Lineage: Eukaryota; Viridiplantae; Streptophyta; Magnoliopsida; Solanales; Solanaceae. The record is from RNAcentral.
AUUAUUCAGCCUAAUCAAUCUGUCCAUUUAGAUUUAUCUAGGUGAACAAAAAAAAGAAUCGAACCAAUAAGAUUGAGACUUGGCAAUGACCUUCUAAGUAAAAUUCAUAACUGAAGGAAUUGAAGGACAAAAUCACACAAGUCAAAAUGGAAAUUCAAAGUCUUUGUGCUAGAAUAGUGUUGCAAAUUCCAUUAUCCUAGUAAAUUCUCACAAUUUAAAAUUAGAGAUUGACAGACUCAUGGUGCUGGAACAUUGCAAAGCUUUCCGUGAUAAUGAAGCAGAACAAAUACUUAGCUCCUUAGACUCAUGUAAGAUUGAAAAGGGAAUUAUUUUUUUCACUUAUAAAUACUGCAGCACCUCCUUAGUGCUAGCUUUAUAAUACAAUUACCUCAUUCUCACAAAAAAGAUAAUGAAGCAGUGGAUACACUUCGUCACCCCAACCCCCGAAAGCAGAUCUCAUCCUACAAAACAAUGAUGGAAGACCCCUCACCCGCCAUUAGAAAAAUCUCAUAUAGCCAAGUGACAAAAGCAAACUCUCCCACGGGUCUCUCUCAAAGCUGAAACUCCAAAGGACUACUUCCACAUCAAAAAACCUUGUUUAAAGUAACAAAAUCUUGUAAGCUAAAACUCCAAAGGACUACUUCCACAUCAAAAAACCUCGUUUAAAGCAGCAAAAUCAAUUCACAACACCUCACUUUAGUGUAUGCAGGAAUCAAAAAGCAAGUUGCAGGUACAAAUUCCAUAGUGCCAGCUGACCCACCAAAGUUGGGCAUAGCCCAUUACAAUGUGAACAUUCUCAAAAGAAGAUAAAUCAAAUCUGUGUUCAACCACAUCAUUGAAUAUAAAAUGAUAUAAGAACCUAUAAGCUGGGCGCGUCCUUGUUCCUUUUUUCCCAUUUGAUGAAGGUAUCACAUUCUCAAAAGAAGAUAAAUUAAAUCAAAUCUGUGUUCAACCACAUCAUUGAAUAUAAGAUGAUAUAAGAACCUAUAAGCUGGCGUGUCCUUGAUCCUUUUUUCCCAUUUGAUGAAGGUAUCUAUAAGGCUUGGGGNNN